RNAcentral lists this transfer RNA (64 nucleotides) under Leptopilina boulardi. RNAcentral describes it as "tRNA-Ala". Lineage: Eukaryota; Metazoa; Arthropoda; Insecta; Hymenoptera; Figitidae. The record is from RNAcentral.
AGAAUAAUAGUUAAAAUUAUAACAUUUAAAUUGCAUUUAAAAAUUAUUAUAAAAAUUUAUUUUA